GGAGGGGAGCAAGCGGCCGCGCUUGCCCGCCGCGAGGCGGGCGGUGAGGAAAGUCCGAACACCGCAGGGCGGGAUGCCGGGUAACGCCCGGGCGCCGCGAGGCGACGGAAAGUGCAACAGAAAACAUACCGCCACGCGCGAACGCGCGGGGUAAGGGUGAAAAGGCGAGGUAAGAGCUCACCGCGUGCUCCGCAAGGAGGACGGCAGUGCAAACCCCAUCCGGUGCAAAACCAAGUAGGCAACCGAUCGAGGACGGCCCGUCCGAGGUUGCGGGUAGGUUGCAAGGAGACGUACGGCGACGUGCGUCCAAGAUAAAUGGCCGCAUAAACAGGAUUCGGCUUACGCUCCCCUCCCGCU
This 357-nucleotide RNase P RNA is filed under the name Spirochaetota bacterium. Its description in RNAcentral is "Spirochaetes bacterium (wastewater metagenome) RNase P RNA component class A". It matches the Rfam family "Bacterial RNase P class A". From Rfam's summary of the family: Ribonuclease P (RNase P) is a ubiquitous endoribonuclease, found in archaea, bacteria and eukarya as well as chloroplasts and mitochondria. Its best characterised activity is the generation of mature 5'-ends of tRNAs by cleaving the 5'-leader elements of precursor-tRNAs. Cellular RNase Ps are ribonucleoproteins. The record is from RNAcentral. Lineage: Bacteria; Pseudomonadati; Spirochaetota.